UAACGUCUCAGUUCUAGAUUGCAGGCUGCAACUCGCCUGCAUGAAGUCGGAAUUGCUAGUAAUCGCAGAUCAGCAUGCUGCGGUGAAUACGUUCCCGGGCCUUGUACACACCGCCCGUCACACCAUGGGAGUCGGUAACACCCGAAGUCGGUAGCCUAACCGUAAGGAGGGCGCCGCCGAAGGUGGGGAUUGAUGACUGGGGUGAAGUCGUAACAAGGUACC
RNAcentral lists this ribosomal RNA (222 nucleotides) under uncultured bacterium. RNAcentral describes it as "partial 16S ribosomal RNA". It matches the Rfam family "Bacterial small subunit ribosomal RNA", at positions 1281 to 1500 of the family's 1533-position model. The record is from RNAcentral.